RNAcentral lists this transfer RNA (83 nucleotides) under Helianthus annuus (common sunflower). Its description in RNAcentral is "tRNA HanXRQr2_Chr13g0575241". Lineage: Eukaryota; Viridiplantae; Streptophyta; Magnoliopsida; Asterales; Asteraceae. The record is from RNAcentral.
GGCAUUAUAGCCUAGUGGUAUUUUCAGGGUGGGAUAAGGCUUAUGGACCAUUAGGUCCUGGGUUCGAUUCCCACAAUGUGUCA